AUUGAACGCUGGCGGCAUGCUUUACACAUGCAAGUCGAACGGCAGCGCGGGCUUCGGCCUGCCGUCGAGUGGCGAACGGGCGAGUAAUUCAUCGGAACGUGCCCUGCCUUUGGGGAUAGCCCGACGAAAGCCGGCUUAAUACCGCAUAGGACAAGAGGUUGAAAGCGGGGGACCAAAAGUGAACGACGGUCUGGAGGGCCCGUAUAGGUGGAACCGUGCUGCAUUAGCAAGUUGGUACGGUGACGGCUUACCAAGGCGACGAUGCAUAGCCGACCUGAGAGGACGACCGGCCACACUGGGACUGAGACACGGCCCAGACUCCUACGGGAGGCAGCAGUGGGGAAUUUUCGACAAUGGGGGCAACCCUGAUCCAGCCAUGCCGCGUGCGGGAAGAAGGCCUUCGGGUUGUAAACCGCUUUUGUUCGGGAAGAACUCCUCUGGACUAAUCCCCCGGGGUGAUGACGGUACCGGAAGAAUAAGCACCGGCUAACUACGUG
This 497-nucleotide ribosomal RNA is filed under the name uncultured bacterium. RNAcentral describes it as "partial 16S ribosomal RNA". It matches the Rfam family "Bacterial small subunit ribosomal RNA", at positions 29 to 507 of the family's 1533-position model. The record is from RNAcentral.